AUAUAACAUACACCCAGCAGGGGCCCCAGGACAGAGACUGUGAAAUCAUGGUCUACAUAGAUACUUGGCAGGGUGACUGUUAAGUUGUGAGUCUGAUAAUGGACACUGGAGGUGAAGGAAUCCGCAUUGGAUGGGGGAAAAGUGUGACACCAAUCAUACCUCCGAGGACUGGAAUUGCCCAGGUCUGCUCUAGAAUGACAGUUAAGGAACAAUGGUGGCCAUCUUGAAGAAUGUGAUGAUAGCAGACUGGGAUAGGGAGAGAUUGAAUAUGGCCAUAAACACACUGGCCAGCUGGUUUUCGCAUGCUCUGAAGACACGGCUAGGCUAGGCCGGCAGCCUUGGGAGGGUAAACACUCUUAAAUGUCUUACUCACAUGGAGAAAGAGAGCCCACAAUCCUUUGUAGCGGGCAGCGUUGUUGGGCACUGUGUUUUCCUCAAAGACGGGCAAAGAAGGUGUUUAGCUUGUCCGGAAGCAAGACGUUGGUGUCCACGACGUGGCUGGUUUUCCUUUUGUAGACCGUGAUUGUAUGUAGACCCUGCCACAUACGUUUCGUGUCUGAGCCGUUGAAUUGCGACUCCACUUUGUCUCAAUACUGACGUUUUGCAUGUUUGCGGAAGGAAUAACUACACUGUCUUUAUUCUGCCAUAUUCCCAGUAACCUUGCCAUGGUUAAAUUCGGUGGUUCGCACUUUCAGUUUUGCGUGAUUGCUGCCAUCUAUCCACGGUUUCAGGUUAGGGUAGGUUUUAAUAGACAUCUCCUAUACACUUCCUGAUAAACUCAGUCACCGUUUCAGUGUGUUCAUCUAAAUUAUUUUCGCAAGCUACCUGGAACAUAUCCCAGUCCAAGUGAUCAAAACAAUCCUGAAGCGUGGAUUCCGAUUGGUCAGACCAUCAUUGAAUGUCCUUAGCACGGGUACUGAGUUUCUGCCUAUAUGAAGGGAGGAGCAAAAUGGAGCCUUGGUCAGAUUUCCCGAAAGGAGGGCGGGCGAGGGCCUUGUAAGCAUCCUGGAAGUUUGAAUAGCAGUGGUCGAGUGUUUACCCCGCUCAAGUACAACAGUCAAUAUGUUGAUAGUACUUCGUCAGCCUAGUCCUCAAAUUUGCUUUGUUAAACUCUUCAGCCACAAACAAUGCAGCCUCAGGAUUUGUGGUUUUCAGUUUGCAUUA
This is a long non-coding RNA of Oncorhynchus keta (chum salmon), 1164 nucleotides long. RefSeq lists it as uncharacterized. The transcript is spliced from 4 exons. The record is from RefSeq and is a predicted model, not a curated record. NCBI's taxonomy places the organism in Eukaryota, Metazoa, Chordata, Actinopteri, Salmoniformes, Salmonidae.